CUAGGAAGUCUAAAUGCCCUGAAGGCACCAGAUCUAAUCUGAUCUCAGAAGCUAAGCAGGGUCAGCCCUGGUUAGUAUUUGGGUGAAAGAUGUCCAAGGGAUACUAUGU
RNAcentral lists this ribosomal RNA (109 nucleotides) under Anolis carolinensis (green anole). Lineage: Eukaryota; Metazoa; Chordata; Lepidosauria; Squamata; Anolidae. The record is from RNAcentral.